RNAcentral lists this non-coding RNA (106 nucleotides) under Leptotrombidium deliense. The record is from RNAcentral. Lineage: Eukaryota; Metazoa; Arthropoda; Arachnida; Trombidiformes; Trombiculidae.
GCUGGGGGCAGUGAUGUGUGCCUGUAAUUUCAGCUAUUCAGGAGGCUGAGACAGGAGGAUCACAAGUUUGAGGCCAGUCUGGCCAACUUAGUGAGACCUUGUCUCA